ACUUGUUCCUGGGAAAGAUCUCACAAGCCCACUCUCCAGAAAGAAGCAUCUACCACUCAUCACCACCAAGUCAGAGGUCUAUUGUUUCCUGGCAGUCCACAGUCCUGUGGUACCACCUGAAAAUGUGUCUCCCUACAGGCUUGGUAAGAAGAGAGACCCGCACCGGAUGCGUGGUUUGAUAAGGAUCACCUUAUGGCUGGCAGAUGAGCCAAGGAUGUAGAAGAGCAUACCCAAAGAGGGCCUGCAGAAUGAGAGGAGGCAACAACCAAGACCACAGCACUAGCGAACACCAGCAUUAAAGCGUCUACAGAGAAACAAAAAUGAAUCUGAGGCAGAGAAGAACAUCUAGGAUACCAGUGCAGAAGUCAAGAGAGGACAGUGUCAAGUCAGUGUUAUAUCUAUUAUGGUGAGCAAAGGAAGUGAUUUCUUAAGAAGAAAUCUACUGGAGAAGAUGCUGUGAACAGUGUUGAAAUGACAAGAAAGGAUACAGAAUGUUACAUAAACUGAGCUGAUAAAGCAGCAGCAAUGUCUGAGAGGAUUGAUCCCAAUUUUGUAAGAAAUUCUACUCUGGGUGAAAUGUUGUCAAAUAGCAAUGCAUGCCGCAGAGAAAUCUUUCCUGCAAGAAGGAGUCAAGUGAUGUAGCAAACUUCAUUGUUAUCUUAUUUUAAUUAAGAUAUUGCCACAGCCAUCCUAACCUUCAGCAACCACCACCUGAUCAGUCAGCAGUCAUUACCAUAGAGGCAAGACCCUCCACCAUCAAAAAGAUUAUAAUUCCCUGAAGGCUAAUGAUGAUUAGCAAUAAAGUAUUCUUAAUUAAGGUAAGUAUAUUGUUUUUUAAGACAUAAUGCUAGUUCACACCAAUGGACUAUAUACAGUAUAGUAUAAACAUAACUUUAUAUGCACUAGGAAAGCAAAAAAACAUGUAACUUGCUUUACUGCAGAAUGUAGUGGCCUGGAACAGAAUCUGCAAUAUAUUUGAGGUCUUGCUAUAAUAUAUUUCAACAAUCAAAUUUCAACACAUCUUGACAGAAA
This is a non-coding RNA of Callithrix jacchus (white-tufted-ear marmoset), 1032 nucleotides long. Lineage: Eukaryota; Metazoa; Chordata; Mammalia; Primates; Cebidae. The record is from RefSeq and is a predicted model, not a curated record.